CUGCCCUCAGGAGGGGGAUAACGGCUGGAAACGGCCGCUAAUACCCCAUAUGCCGAGAGGUGAAAUGAAUUUCGCCUGAGGAUGAGCCCGCGUCUGAUUAGCUAGUUGGUGAGGUAAGAGCUCACCAAGGCAUCGAUCAGUAGCUGGUCUGAGAGGAUGAUCAGCCACACUGGGACUGAGACACGGCCCAGACUCCUACGGGAGGCAGCAGUGGGGAAUUUUCCGCAAUGGGCGAAAGCCUGACGGAGCAACGCCGCGUGAGGGAUGAAGGCCUCUGGGCUGUAAACCUCUUUUCUCAAGGAAGAAGAUCUGACGGUACUUGAGGAAUAAGCCACGGCUAAUUCCGUGCCAGCAGCCGCGGUAAUACGGGAGUGGCAAGCGUUAUCCGGAAUUAUUGGGCGUAAAGCGUCCGCAGGCGGCCCUUCAAGUCUGCUGUUAAAACGUGGAGCUUAACUCCAUCAUGGCAGUGGAAACUGUUGGGCUUGAGUGUGGUAGGGGCAGAGGGAAUUCCCGGUGUAGCGGUGAAAUGCGUAGAUAUCGGGAAGAACACCAGUGGCGAAGGCGCUCUGCUGGGCCAUCACUGACGCUCAUGGACGAAAGCCAGGGGAGCGAAAGGGAUUAGAUACCCCUGUAGUCCUGGCCGUAAACGAUGAACACUAGGUGUCGGGGGAAUCGACCCCCUCGGUGUCGUAGCCAACGCGUUAAGUGUUCCGCCUGGGGAGUACGCACGCAAGUGUGAAACUCAAAGGAAUUGACGGGGGCCCGCACAAGCGGUGGAGUAUGUGGUUUAAUUCGAUGCAACGCGAAGAACCUUACCAGGGUUUGACAUCCUGCGAACCUCUUGGAAACGAGAGGGUGCCUUCGGGAACGCAGUGACAGGUGGUGCAUGGCUGUCGUCAGCUCGUGUCGUGAGAUGUUGGGUUAAGUCCCGCAACGAGCGCAACCCACGUCUUUAGUUGCCAGCAUUUAGUUGGGCACUCUAGAGAGACCGCCGGUGAUAAACCGGAGGAAGGUGUGGAUGACGUCAAGUCAUCAUGCCCCUUACAUCCUGGGCUACACACGUACUACAAUGCUACGGACAAAGGGCAGCAAGUUCGCGAGGACAAGCAAAUCCCAUAAACCGUGGCUCAGUUCAGAUCGUAG
This 1143-nucleotide ribosomal RNA is filed under the name uncultured Synechococcus sp. RNAcentral's name for it is "bacterial SSU rRNA". It matches the Rfam family "Bacterial small subunit ribosomal RNA", at positions 126 to 1303 of the family's 1533-position model. Lineage: Bacteria; Bacillati; Cyanobacteriota; Cyanophyceae; Synechococcales; Synechococcaceae. The record is from RNAcentral.